RNAcentral lists this ribosomal RNA (524 nucleotides) under uncultured organism. Its description in RNAcentral is "bacterial SSU rRNA". It matches the Rfam family "Bacterial small subunit ribosomal RNA", at positions 393 to 917 of the family's 1533-position model. The record is from RNAcentral.
CAAGUAGCGUGCAGGAUGACGGCCCUAUGGGUUGUAAACUGCUUUUAUAAGGGAAUAAAGUGAGUGUCGUGAGACUUUUUGCAUGUACCUUAUGAAUAAGGACCGGCUAAUUCCGUGCCAGCAGCCGCGGUAAUACGGAAGGUCCGGGCGUUAUCCGGGUUUAUUGGGUUUAAAGGGAGCGUAGGCCGGAGAUUAAGCGUGUUGUGAAAUGUAGACGCUCAACGUCUGCACUGCAGCGCGAACUGGUUUCCUUGAGUACGCACAAAGUGGGCGGAAUUCGUGGUGUAGCGGUGAAAUGCUUAGAUAUCACGAAGAACUCCGAUUGCGAAGGCAGCUCACUGGAGCGCAACUGACGCUGAAGCUCGAAAGUGCGGGUAUCGAACAGGAUUAGAUACCCUGGUAGUCCGCACGGUAAACGAUGGAUGCCCGCUGUUGGUCUGAAUAGGUCAGCGGCCAAGCGAAAGCAUUAAGCAUCCCACCUGGGGAGUACGCCGGCAACGGUGCAACUCAAAGGAAUUGACGGA